GAUGAAGAACGUAGCGAAAUGCGAUAAGUAGUGUGAAUUGCAGAAUUCAGUGAAUGAUCGAAUCUUUGAACGCACAUUGCGCCCCUUGGUAUUCCAUGGGGCAUGCCUGUUCGAGCGUCAUUUGUACCUUCAAGCUCUGCUUGGUGUUGGGUGUUUGUCCUUGCUCUAGUGGCGGGACUCGCCUUAAAGUAAUUGGCAGCCAGUGUUUUGGUUUUGAAGCGCAGCACAAGUCGCGAUUCAAGUCUAUACGCUAGUUUCCACAAGUCUUUUAUCACUUUUGACCUCGGAUCAGGUAGGGAUACCCGCUGAACUUAAGCAUAUCAAUAAGCGGAGGA
This 335-nucleotide unclassified non-coding RNA is filed under the name soil metagenome. Its description in RNAcentral is "partial contains 5.8S ribosomal RNA, internal transcribed spacer 2, and large subunit ribosomal RNA". The stretch from base 1 to 120 matches the Rfam family "5.8S ribosomal RNA", at positions 35 to 154 of the family's 154-position model. The record is from RNAcentral.